CUACGGGAUGCACCAGUGGGGAAUAUUGCACAAUGGGCGCAAGCCUGAUGCAGCCAUGCCGCGUGUAUGAGGAAGGCCUUCGGGUUGUAAAGUACUUUCAGCGGGGAGGAAGGGAGUAAAGUUAAUACCUUUGCUCAUUGACGUUACCCGCAGAAGAAGCACCGGCUAACUCCGUGCCAGCAGCCGCGGUAAUACGGAGGGUGCAAGCGUUAAUCGGAAUUACUGGGCGUAAAGCGCACGCAGGCGGUUUGUUAAGUCAGAUGUGAAAUCCCCGGGCUCAACCUGGGAACUGCAUCUGAUACUGGCAAGCUAGAGUAUCGUAGAGGGGGGUAGAAUUCCAGGUGUAGCGGUGAAAUGCGUAGAGAUCUGGAGGAAUACCGGUGGCGAAGGCGGCCCCCUGGACGAAGACUGACGCUCAGGUGCGAAAGCGUGGGGAGCAAACAGGAUUAGAUACCCGCGUAGUC
Molecule: ribosomal RNA, 464 nt
Filed under: uncultured bacterium
Lineage: Bacteria
Description: partial 16S ribosomal RNA
Rfam family: Bacterial small subunit ribosomal RNA
Source: RNAcentral